Humulus lupulus (European hop) is the source of this 222-nucleotide long non-coding RNA. RefSeq lists it as uncharacterized. The transcript is spliced from 3 exons. The record is from RefSeq and is a predicted model, not a curated record. Lineage: Eukaryota; Viridiplantae; Streptophyta; Magnoliopsida; Rosales; Cannabaceae.
GCAGCAGUCCAAGCUUCUGGUGCAACCGCAUCCUCUCAUGAGGCAUCAGAUGCUUCAUUUGUUAAAAAGUCAGCAGCAAGCAUGCUUAGUGGGAAGAGGCCUGUUCAAGCAGCUCCUACCAACAAAAAAGGGGCUUCUGCUAAAGGGGGUGUGAGUAAGAAGAGUGAUGCACCUGCACAGACAAAAUCCUCUAAAUCUGCUGAAACACCCGAAGAUGUUGAG